GACGAACGCUGGCGGCGUGCUUAACACAUGCAAGUCGAACGCUGAAGCUUGGUGCUUGCACUGGGUGGAUGAGUGGCGAACGGGUGAGUAAUACGUGAGUAACCUGCCCUUGACUCUGAGAUAAGCCUGGGAAACUGGGUCUAAUACUGGAUACGACAUGUCACCGCAUGGUGGUGUGUGGAAAGGGUUUUACUGGUUUUGGAUGGGCUCACGGCCUAUCAGCUUGUUGGUGGGGUAAUGGCUCACCAAGGCGACGACGGGUAGCCGGCCUGAGAGGGUGACCGGCCACACUGGGACUGAGACACGGCCCAGACUCCUACGGGAGGCAGCAGUGGGGAAUAUUGCACAAUGGGCGGAAGCCUGAUGCAGCGACGCCGCGUGAGGGAUGACGGCCUUCGGGUUGUAAACCUCUUUCAGCACGGAAGAAGCGAAAGUGACGGUACGUGCAGAAGAAGCGCCGGCUAACUACGUG
Molecule: ribosomal RNA, 472 nt
Filed under: uncultured bacterium
Lineage: Bacteria
Description: partial 16S ribosomal RNA
Rfam family: Bacterial small subunit ribosomal RNA
Source: RNAcentral